RNAcentral lists this transfer RNA (74 nucleotides) under Coxiella endosymbiont of Amblyomma americanum. RNAcentral's name for it is "tRNA-Lys (CTT) (tRNA-Lys-CTT-1-1)". It matches the Rfam family "tRNA". Rfam says of the family: Transfer RNA (tRNA) molecules are approximately 80 nucleotides in length. Lineage: Bacteria; Pseudomonadati; Pseudomonadota; Gammaproteobacteria; Legionellales; Coxiellaceae. The record is from Rfam by way of RNAcentral. RNAcentral also lists the same sequence under 1 other name.
GGGCCGUUAGCUCAGUUUGGUAGAGCAGCUGACUCUUAAUCAGCGGGUCCACGGUUCAAGCCCGUGACGGCCCA